Molecule: ribosomal RNA, 436 nt
Filed under: [Eubacterium] infirmum
Lineage: Bacteria; Bacillati; Bacillota; Clostridia; Peptostreptococcales; Anaerovoracaceae
Description: bacterial SSU rRNA
Rfam family: Bacterial small subunit ribosomal RNA
Source: RNAcentral
GAUGAACGCUGGCGGCGUGCCUAACACAUGCAAGUCGAGCGAGAAGUAAAGAAAUGAAGCUUCGGUAGAUUUUCAUUAUGGAAAGCGGCGGACGGGUGAGUAACGCGUAGGCAACCUGCCCUGUACAGGGGGAUAGCCACCCGAAAAGGUGAUUAAUACCCCAUGAUGCAAGAGAUACACAUGUAUCACUUGUCAAAGAUUUAUCGGUAUGGGAUGGGCCUGCGUCUGAUUAGCUAGUUGGUAGGGUAACGGCUUACCAAGGCAACGAUCAGUAGCCGACCUGAGAGGGUGAUCGGCCACAUUGGAACUGAGACACGGUCCAAACUCCUACGGGAGGCAGCAGUGGGGAAUAUUGCACAAUGGGGGAAACCCUGAUGCAGCAACGCCGCGUGAAGGAAGAAGGCCUUCGGGUUGUAACCUUCUGUCCUAGGGGAAG